AAAGGAAUAGCUGGGUCAAAUGGUGGUUCCAUUCCCAGAUUUCCAAGGAAUCUCCAUACUGCUUUCCAAAUUGGCUGCACCAAUUUGCAGUCCCACCAGCAAU
This 103-nucleotide microRNA precursor is filed under the name Marmota monax (woodchuck). Lineage: Eukaryota; Metazoa; Chordata; Mammalia; Rodentia; Sciuridae. The record is from RNAcentral.